Molecule: transfer RNA, 71 nt
Filed under: Tachina lateromaculata
Lineage: Eukaryota; Metazoa; Arthropoda; Insecta; Diptera; Tachinidae
Description: tRNA-Lys
Source: RNAcentral
CAUUAGAUGACUGAAAGCAAGUGUUGGUCUCUUAAACCAUAUUAUAGUAAAUUAGUGUUUACUUCUAAUGA